This 77-nucleotide transfer RNA is filed under the name Akkermansiaceae bacterium. Its description in RNAcentral is "tRNA-Pro". It matches the Rfam family "tRNA". From Rfam's summary of the family: Transfer RNA (tRNA) molecules are approximately 80 nucleotides in length. Their secondary structure includes four short double-helical elements and three loops (D, anti-codon, and T loops). The record is from RNAcentral. Lineage: Bacteria; Pseudomonadati; Verrucomicrobiota; Verrucomicrobiia; Verrucomicrobiales; Akkermansiaceae.
CGGGUUGUAGCGCAGCUUGGUAGCGCACCACACUGGGGGUGUGGGGGUCGCAGGUUCAAAUCCUGUCAACCCGACCA